Molecule: ribosomal RNA, 207 nt
Filed under: uncultured bacterium
Lineage: Bacteria
Description: partial 16S ribosomal RNA
Rfam family: Bacterial small subunit ribosomal RNA
Source: RNAcentral
CACGUAGGCGGAUUGUUAAGUCGGGGGUGAAAUCCCGGGGCUCAACCCCGGAACUGCCUUCGAUACUGGCGAUCUCGAGUCCGGAAGAGGUUAGUGGAAUUCCCAGUGUAGAGGUGAAAUUCGUAGAUAUUGGGAAGAACACCAGUGGCGAAGGCGGCUAACUGGUCCGGUACUGACGCUGAGGUGCGAAAGCGUGGGGAGCAAACA